Molecule: ribosomal RNA, 253 nt
Filed under: uncultured bacterium
Lineage: Bacteria
Description: partial 16S ribosomal RNA
Rfam family: Bacterial small subunit ribosomal RNA
Source: RNAcentral
UACGUAGGGUGCGGGCGUUAAUCGGAAUUACUGGGCGUAAAGAGUGCGUAGGCGGUUUUCUAAGUUUGGUGUGAAAUCUCCCGGCUCAACUGGGAGGGUGCGCCGAAGACUGGAAGGCUUGAGUAUGGGAGAGGUAAGCGGAAUUCCUGGUGUAGCGGUGAAAUGCGUAGAUAUCAGGAGGAACACCUGCGGUGUAGACGGCUUACUGGACCAUAACUGACGCUGAGGCACGAAAGCGUGGGUAGCAAACAGG